AUGGCGGCGCGCCUUGGUUGGGGGAGCAAGCGCCAGGUGUUCCUGACUCAGACCCGCGCCGAUCCCCGUAGGAAACUCCCCGGGUGGAUCUCCCUUGGCCGCUGCACAGCGGCGGCCGUUCCGCGAGCGGCCGCAGAGCCGUCUGGGGGCACGGACUGGUUGGACUGGCUCGGGCGCGUCGGAGCUGGGCGGGCAGGUGGCAACGCCCUCCCGGGGCUUGUUUUGCUUUGUAUUUUACUCCAAUUCCCUGAGGCUCCGUGGGAUGAGAGAAAGCUACAGGCUGGAGGGUUCUUCCAAGAAGCCACCAGCCUCAAGCCACUCGCUUUUUUGGAGGGCAAGGUUCGAUCCAAAGUAGCCCCCAAAGCCUCCAGAGCACUAGGUGGUCCAAGAACUGACACCCAGAUCAACGAUCUCUCCUCCGCACCAGCCCCUUGCAGAAAGGAGCGGGGCACUUUCUUCCAAACCAGUGGAAUGUAAAGCAGGAUGGUUCCGCCACUUAUCCCUGCCUGGCCCAUAGUAGGUGUUUUAUAAACGCUGUUGAAUCCAGAUGCUCUUCCCAUCACGCACCAGACCGCCAAAGAUUGGACCUCUAUUUGCUUCCCCAAAUAAAAACCCAGACGACUAAGCAUCCCAAUAGCCACGGAGCUCCUUAAGAGAUUCUCUUUAAUGUUUAUUCCCCCAACAAGCCAAAAUCACAGAUUCCGUCCCAGGAAAGGGCCGGGCCCUCCCCAAAGCAUCCCCUGCCAAGGCUGCAGCCCCUGUACCCAACACACUGAAUAUAAAACAGUAGAGAAAAGAUGCAACGCCGGAUUUAAAAACAUCAUGUCUCUCCUGAAGGACUCCAGCUUGGGUCAGCAGGGAACCUUGCUGGGCUAAGAAGUUUUUCUUAUUGCAGAUAAAUAAUCACAGCGAGGGUGGAGCACUGUCCGGCACGUCUCAGCCAUUCGCGGGCCCGAGAGCCACAAAGCCCUCGGUUUGCCUCCCACCCUCUGCUUGAGGGGGCCCAUGAAGUAAGCGGCUCUGCAGGGCUUCUGGGCCACCAGGGGUGGAGAAGAUGCUACAGCAAACCAGGGGUGGAAAUCCAGCUGUGAUCUGUUUAAAACACAGAUAUCUCCUGGCUUUGGAGUCCACUCCUUCCCCGCCCCAAGCCCUGCAGAGCUGGGUCUGGGGGAUGUCUCCUUGGCCGUCUGGGUAAAGGGGAGCUAGGAGGGAGCCUUCCCGUUUGCCCUGGGGCCAGGAAGGGUCCCCCAGCCUCAUUUCUCUUC
Molecule: long non-coding RNA, 1265 nt
Filed under: Sarcophilus harrisii (Tasmanian devil)
Lineage: Eukaryota; Metazoa; Chordata; Mammalia; Dasyuromorphia; Dasyuridae
Description: lncRNA (ENSSHAG00000022028.1)
Source: RNAcentral